Molecule: ribosomal RNA, 500 nt
Filed under: uncultured bacterium
Lineage: Bacteria
Description: partial 16S ribosomal RNA
Rfam family: Bacterial small subunit ribosomal RNA
Source: RNAcentral
AUUGAACGCUGGCGGAAUGCUUUACACAUGCAAGUCGAACGGCAGCACGGACUUCGGUCUGGUGGCGAGUGGCGAACGGGUGAGUAAUGUAUCGGAACGUGCCCAGUCGUGGGGGAUAACGUAGUGAAAAUUACGCUAAUACCGCAUACGAUCUAUGGAUGAAAGCGGGGGAUCGCAAGACCUCGCGCGAUUGGGGCGGCCGAUAACAGAUUAGGUAGUUGGUGGGGGAAAUGCCCACCAAGCCAACGACCUGUAGUUGGUCUGAGAGGACGACCAGCCACACUGGAACUGAGACACGGUCCAGACUCCUACGGGAGGCAGCAGUGGGGAAUUUUGGACAAUGGGCGAAAGCCUGAUCCAGCCAUUCCGCGUGCAGGAUGAAGGCCCUCGGGUUGUAAACUGCUUUUGUACAGAACGAAAAGGUUUCUACUAAUACUAGGAGCUCAUGACGGUACUGUAAGAAUAAGCACCGGCUAACUACGUGCCAGCCGCCGCGGUAA